GAAAUGUUUGACAUAUAAUAUCCAGUCAAUGUGUCCUUUUUGGAAUGGACACAGAUCCCAGAAAAUGUCACUUCUCAUUUUUUUUUUUUUAUUCAAUCCCAUAGAAUCCUGGAAGACUCAGGAGGAUGCUCCUCAGCUGGAGUCGUUUGUGAUGGUCCCAGCCUGUAGUCAGAUAAUAGGAGAAACAUCCUCUGCCUCCACAGGAUAUUUCGCUUGUGUCUCCUCUGAAUGCGAGCUUGUCUUUUCUGAUGAGGAUGGAUACAGAGGAAGAACUGGAGUCUCCCACAAAGAAGAUACAGAUGGAAGAAAUGACCUCUCCUGAAAAAAUACGUACAUUCACCCCCACUCAAGUGACUACAAUGGAGCUCCUGACUGACAGUGAAUCCAACUUGGAUAUCCAAGCCAAAGAUGAAAAGGAGAGGGCUGAAAGUCCACCAGAACCUCGAGCUUUGGAGGAAUGUUCCAGGGCCAAGACACCUGAAUGGCUGGCAGCCCUGGACAGUGGCUUCCAGUGCAUGAGCUGCUACCGGAUCUUCCCGAGCUUAGAGGACCUUCAGAAGCACAUGGAACAUGGGAUCAGUGAGGGCUUUAGCUGCUAUGUUUUCCGUCUUGCUUUGGCUUGGCUAAAGCGAAAGUGGAACAGAAAAGGGGAAAACAGGAGGAGGAAGAAGAUUAUCAAGAUGGCCACAUCUGGUUGCCACAAAGAAAAACAUUUUGGCAUGAAGAUAUACUCAUGCAAAGACACUGACUCUCACCCCUAAAAAGAGGAAAUGAAAGAGGCCAGCCUCUAUUGAGGAGGCUUCAUCUCUAAGCAGCCAUCGUACCUACCCUUGUUUAUGCAUCUUUGUCAGCACACCACCCAAAGAGCAGAGAACCCAUUCUAAUAUUAUCCACUGCUCUCCUGAGGAGAGCGGAGAGGAAGGCAGAUCUCACCAUACAGAAGAGCAAGAUGUCCUUAAGCAAACUAAAGAAAAAUGAACAACAGUAUAUCAUCUCCACCACUACAAGUGAAGAAAGGACGAAAGUGAAACUGCUAUGGACUAGAUCACAGAAGGGGUGAGAACUGGAAUGGUAAGAGAUCAUGUCAAGAAUAUUUAGGAUGCAGGAUUCUGAGAAAAGGCAUCCAUCACUAAUGCCUCCCAAGGUCCCAUAAUCACUGUAAUGAAUAAUUUCUUUCAGAAUAAUGUAUUCUUGGAAGUGGAAUAUUUUUUUGUUGUUUAGUUACUCGGUCAUAUAUGACUCUUUACAACCCCAUGGACCUGCAGCAUGCCAGGCUUCCCUGUCCUUCAGUAUCUCCUGGAUAGUCUGGGACACUAAACUCACGUCCAUUGAGUCAAUGAUGCCAUCCAACCGUCUCACACUCUGUCACCCCCAUCUCCUUCUGCCCUCAAUCUUUCCCAGCAUCAAUUUCUUUUCCAAUGGGUUGGCUGUUCACAUCAGGUGGCCAAGUACUGGGGAGCUUUAGUUUCAGCAUCAAUCCUUCCAAUGAAUAUUCAGGGUUGAUUUCCUUUAGGAUCGACUGGUUUGAUUUCCUUGCUGUUUCUGCCGUGGAAUAUUUUGUUGAUGACAAAUUAAUGAGAAUAUCUCCUGUCCACCCCCUUGGAAGGGAUAGGAAAAAAUACCCAACUAGGAAUUCUGCUACUCACUGGAAAAGACCCUGAUGCUGGGGAAGAUUGCAGGCAAGGGGAGAAGGGGGCCACAGAGGAUGAGAUGGUUGGAUGGCAUCACCAACUCAAUGUACAUAAAUUUGAGCAAACUCCAGGAGACAGUGAAGGACAGAAAAGCCUGUCAUGAUGCAGUCCAUGGGAAUCACAAAGAGUCAGACAUGACUGAGUGACUGAAUGGCAAGCAGUUCAGCAGGGCAGAGAAGGCCUGGCC
RNAcentral lists this long non-coding RNA (1878 nucleotides) under Capra hircus (goat). RNAcentral's name for it is "lncRNA (ENSCHIG00000007128.1)". The record is from RNAcentral. Lineage: Eukaryota; Metazoa; Chordata; Mammalia; Artiodactyla; Bovidae.